GAGGGUUUAGCUCAGUAGUAGAGCGUGUGCUUAGCAAGCACCAGGCCCUGGGUUCAGUCCCCAGCACCGCCA
This 72-nucleotide transfer RNA is filed under the name Camelus ferus (Wild Bactrian camel). It matches the Rfam family "tRNA". Rfam says of the family: Transfer RNA (tRNA) molecules are approximately 80 nucleotides in length. Lineage: Eukaryota; Metazoa; Chordata; Mammalia; Artiodactyla; Camelidae. The record is from Rfam by way of RNAcentral.